RNAcentral lists this transfer RNA (60 nucleotides) under Loxodonta africana (African savanna elephant). It matches the Rfam family "tRNA", at positions 7 to 64 of the family's 71-position model. Rfam says of the family: Transfer RNA (tRNA) molecules are approximately 80 nucleotides in length. Lineage: Eukaryota; Metazoa; Chordata; Mammalia; Proboscidea; Elephantidae. The record is from Rfam by way of RNAcentral.
GUAGUGUAGCGGUUAACACACUAGGCUGCUAACCAAAAGGUUGGAGGUUCUAGUCCACCC